AAGUUGGUUUCACCUUAAGGCAAAUUGUUAACCUUCGGGAUACAUUUGACUACGGUAUGAUCAACAACUGGGGUGAAGUCGUAACAAGGUAGCCGUAGGGGAACCUGCGGCUGGAUCACCUCCUUU
This 126-nucleotide ribosomal RNA is filed under the name Fidelibacterota bacterium. Its description in RNAcentral is "partial 16S ribosomal RNA". It matches the Rfam family "Bacterial small subunit ribosomal RNA", at positions 1408 to 1533 of the family's 1533-position model. The record is from RNAcentral. Lineage: Bacteria; Pseudomonadati; Fidelibacterota.